UAGAAUUCCGCGUGUAGCAGUGAAAUGCGUAUAGAUGUGGAAGAAUACCGAUGGCGAAGGCAGCCUCCUGGGAUAACACUGACGUUCAUGCUCGAAAGCGUGGGUAGCAAACAGGAUUAGAUACCCUGGUAGUCCACGCCCUAAACGAUGACAAUUAGCUGUUGGGACACUAGAUGUCUUAGUAGCGAAGCUAACGCGUGAAAUUGUCCGCCUGGGGAGUACGGUCGCAAGAUUAAAACUCAAAGGAAUUGACGGGGACCCGCACAAGCGGUGGAUGAUGUGGAUUAAUUCGAUGCAACGCGAAGAACCUUACCUGGUCUUGACAUGUACGGAAUCUCUUAGAGAUAGGAGAGUGCCUUCGGGAACCGUAACACAGGUGCUGCAUGGCUGUCGUCAGCUCGUGUCGUGAGAUGUUGGGUUAAGUCCCGCAACGAGCGCAACCCUUGUCAUUAGUUGCCAUCAUUAAGUUGGGCACUCUAAUGAGACUGCCGGUGAUAUGCCGGAGGAAGGUGGGGAUGACGUCAAGUCCUCAUGGCCCUUAUGACCAGGGCUUCACACGUCAUACAAUGGUCGGUACAGAGGGUAGCGAAGCCGCGAGGUGAAGCCAAUCUCAGAAAGCCGAUCGUAGUCCGGAUUGCACUCUGCAACUCGAGUGCAUGAAGUCGGAAUCGCUAGUAAUCGCAGGUCAGCAUAC
RNAcentral lists this ribosomal RNA (694 nucleotides) under uncultured Snodgrassella sp. Its description in RNAcentral is "bacterial SSU rRNA". It matches the Rfam family "Bacterial small subunit ribosomal RNA", at positions 662 to 1357 of the family's 1533-position model. Lineage: Bacteria; Pseudomonadati; Pseudomonadota; Betaproteobacteria; Neisseriales; Neisseriaceae. The record is from RNAcentral.